Molecule: non-coding RNA, 902 nt
Organism: Camellia sinensis
Lineage: Eukaryota; Viridiplantae; Streptophyta; Magnoliopsida; Ericales; Theaceae
Source: RefSeq, a predicted model, not a curated record
UUAAUCACAUUACGAAUUCUAAAAAUUUCUUAAAUUAUGUCACAUUAUCAAUUAGUACACUAAUUAGUAUAUCAAUUAAUACAUAUAAUAUUAUUCUUUAAAAAUAUCUUAUUUGGCUUACACCACCACAAGUCCAGAUCGCGCUCUCUUGCUGGCGAUGAUAGAGGAGGGGGAUGGACUCGUAGUCGGUGACUGUGAGUGUGGCUGUAGUGAUGUCCAAUAGUGAUUCCGAGAAAAAUAAGGAUAUUAUGACAGUUCUAAUUUUAAGAUAGGAUAAUAGGCAAUUUGAAUCCUUAAAAUAUAUAUUCUUUGUCAUUAGUUUAUUAAAUUUUAAUUUUGUCAUUUUGAUCUUUAAAGUUAUCAAUUUGAAUUAAUUUGAUCUUAGGUUCAACUUCUGAUAACAAAAGAUGAAUAAAAUGCAGUUUUGGUCCUUAAAGUAUGUAUUUCUUGUCAUUUAGUCUCUUAAGUUUUAAAUAUUGUCAUUUUGGUCCUCAAUUUGAGUCAAUUUGGUCCUAACUCAAUUUGGCAACUUUGACGAUUAAAAUGAUAAAAUUUAAACUUGAAGAACUAAAAUGACAAGAAAUUCAUAUUUUAGAAAUCAAUACUAUUUUUUAUUCAUAAAUAUGUUAAAGCACGUUAAAGACCAAAUUGAUUCAAAAUGAUAAUUUUGAUGACCAAACUAAUAAAAUUAAAAUUUAAUGGACUUAAAGUAAAAAAACAAGGCAUACUUUAGGAUUAAAUCUACGUUUUAUCUAAAAGAUAAAAUUGUAAGACGCCAUCGAUGAAAGUGUAUGAACUGAGGAAGUAAGACGCCAAAAUUUAGGGUGUUGCUAUCCACCUUCUCUGGAUGAUGAUAAGAAUCAAAAUAGACAAUUAGCCAAAGAAAAAAGAAAAAAAAAAAA